This 498-nucleotide ribosomal RNA is filed under the name uncultured bacterium. Its description in RNAcentral is "partial 16S ribosomal RNA". It matches the Rfam family "Bacterial small subunit ribosomal RNA", at positions 30 to 523 of the family's 1533-position model. The record is from RNAcentral.
AUUGAACGCUGGCGGCAUGCCUUACACAUGCAAGUCGAACGGUAACAGGUCUUCGGAUGCUGACGAGUGGCGAACGGGUGAGUAAUACAUCGGAACGUGCCUAGUAGUGGGGGAUAACUAUCCGAAAGGAUAGCUAAUACCGCAUACGAUCUGCGGAUGAAAGCGGGGGACCUUCGGGCCUCGCGCGAUUGGAGCGGCCGAUGUCAGAUUAGGUAGUUGGUGGGGUAAAGGCUCACCAAGCCAACGAUCUGUAGCUGGUCUGAGAGGAUGACCAGCCACACUGGGACUGGGACACGGCCCAGACUCCUACGGGAGGCAGCAGUGGGGAAUUUUGGACAAUGGGCGCAAGCCUGAUCCAGCAAUGCCGCGUGCAGGAAGAAGGCCUUCGGGUUGUAAACUGCUUUUGUACGGAACGAAACGGCUCUGGUUAAUACCUGGGGCUAAUGACGGUACCGUAAGAAUAAGCACCGGCUAACUACGUGCCAGCAGCCGCCGUAA